This is a long non-coding RNA of Nematostella vectensis (starlet sea anemone), 195 nucleotides long. RefSeq lists it as uncharacterized. The transcript has 2 exons. The record is from RefSeq and is a predicted model, not a curated record. Lineage: Eukaryota; Metazoa; Cnidaria; Anthozoa; Actiniaria; Edwardsiidae.
UCAAGAUGGCGGAAGCCGGCGAAGGGAAGAACUAUCUAUACGGGCUUCUAAUUUUGUCUCCUGUCCUCUCGUUCUUGUGUUUACUUGGGAUAUUUUACUCAUACUUGACUAGUAAGUCCCCCUUGGGCAGACUUGUACCCAGUCGUUAUUUGCUGUUGCGCGUACAUCCACAGGAAUCCUAAAGCAAAGACGGGG